UCGUGUUGUCCCGUCGCGCGCGUGCCGCGGACCGGUCGUACGCGCAGAUAUUAUUGUCAUUGUUAUUAUUGUUGCGUACACAGACGUACGAAAUACGUUAUUACGAAACACGGUGGUCAACGAUAAGGCGGUGUGUUUUGGCGACAGUCCCGGUUUACAUUCGCUACCGGCGUUUUAUGAUUUCGGUUGACAGGGUUACAGGUUCGCAAAAACGACACGUUUGUUGCCGUCACAAAUAACGUCAAUUGAUAAUGAACGAGAGUGCCGCUACU
Molecule: non-coding RNA, 272 nt
Organism: Cinara cedri
Lineage: Eukaryota; Metazoa; Arthropoda; Insecta; Hemiptera; Aphididae
Source: the annotation of a GenBank genome assembly